AGAGUUUAGCUGUUUACUUUGAAGUUUGGUUGUUUGCUCUUCCCGCCAAGGAUGGAUGUCUUAAGGAGAAUACAGAGGAGAUAAUCAGUUGCCCAAGGCCACUCAGAGAGAAAGACUGCGUCUUUGUGCUUGUCUCCAGUUUCCAGAGUUUACUUGCCCUUCCUUCCUAUCUUCUGUUUUACCUGUCCUUGUAACUUUUGAAGAGAUUGCACCACAGAAACCAAGUCCUGCAAAUCUUCUGUUAACCAACUUGGCCUGGAGAAAAAUGACUUUAAUCUCAGAGACUGCAUUAAACUUUGGAAGAAGCCAAAUCAAUAAAGCCCACUCCAAAGCUUUAAGUCCUGAAGCCAGUUUGAAUGAGUACUUUGGACCUGAUCUGCCUGCUGUUGUGAUUAAAGACUGUAGUGUAAAUAACAGGUUAGUCCUAAUGCAGAGGAUGUCAUAGAGGACAAUGGAUAAAGAACUACUUUGUAGUAGUUCACAUCCAGGCACAAGUGGCUGGGAUUCAUUACUCUGACCUAGGUCAAGUGUGCUGCUGUGGCUGGGAGGCCUCAUCAUUCCCCUUACCCUAAAGGUGCAGACCUGGUGUGCCGAAGAGGUGUUUCUCCAUGGCUUCCAGAGCUGCAUUUUCUGGGGCACUUCUGUACUGACUGUCCCUCAUGGCCAAGGAAGACCGUGAUAGUCAGGUGGAGAGGAAUUUCUGAUCUUUUCUGGCAACAGGUUGAAGUAUAUUCCUGGAUUGGUGCUCUGUGUCUCUCACAGCAUCAUGUGGGAGGCCAAGAUAAGCCUCCUUGUACCAGACUUCUCCCCUUGCCCUUUGUAUUCCCAUAGCAAUGGCUUGAGCACCUGCGUUCAAGGCUGUGUGCAAUACCUGGUCCUGUGGCUUGCCCUGACCGUAUAGCUGUGCUGAAGGCAGAGAAGGAAUUGCAGGUGCUUAAGCUGCUACUUGUCAAAAGUUUACUGUUAAAUAUACAUAGACAGCAUGAGAAAUGGGGCAACUGGAGCUCUGGGAGGCUCACAGCACACAGGCAGCUUGGACACAUUCCUGGUUAACUUCCCACUUUGCUGGCCAUGUGUUUUUGGAAAGAAGGGCUCUGAAAUUUGUGCCAUCAAAUCAGAUAAAUGUAGCCUGAAGCUCUCUAGAGUUGUGGACACUCCUAUGGCUCUCAACCCAAACUGAGAAGUAAGAUUUGGGGUUAAAGGUACUUUCUGAUCUUGUGUCUCCUUCGCUGUCUCAUAUUAGCUGCCCUCUUUUCCACCCUAUU
Molecule: non-coding RNA, 1265 nt
Organism: Anas platyrhynchos (mallard)
Lineage: Eukaryota; Metazoa; Chordata; Aves; Anseriformes; Anatidae
Source: RefSeq, a predicted model, not a curated record